RNAcentral lists this ribosomal RNA (501 nucleotides) under uncultured bacterium. RNAcentral's name for it is "bacterial SSU rRNA". It matches the Rfam family "Bacterial small subunit ribosomal RNA", at positions 36 to 521 of the family's 1533-position model. The record is from RNAcentral.
AAUGAACGCCUGGCGGCGCGCCUAAUACAUGCAAGUCGAGCGAGAAGACGUAGCAAUACGUUUGUAAAGCGGCGAACGGGUGAGGAAUACAUGGGUAACCUACCCUCGAGUGGGGAAUAACUAGCCGAAAGGUUAGCUAAUACCGCGUACGCUUCUUGGACUUCGGUUCAGGGAGGAAAGCGAUGCCGAGGGUAUCGCGCUCUUGGAUGGGCUCAUGUCCUAUCAGCUUGNGGUGAGGUAACGGCUCACCAAGGCUUCGACGGGUAGCUGGUCUGAGAGGACGAUCAGCCACACUGGCACUGCGACACGGGCCAGACUCCUACGGGAGGCAGCAGUAAGGAAUAUUGCGCAAUGGGCGAAAGCCUGACGCAGCGACGCCGCGUGGGGGAUGAAGGUCUUCGGAUUGUAAACCCCUUUCGGGAGGGAAGAUGGAAUGGGGUAACCCAUUCGGACGGUACCUCCAGAAGCAGCCACGGCUAACUUCGUGCCAGCAGCCGCGGU